CACCACCUACAUAUAACUCCAUUAAAGCUUCCGUUAAGUUUAAGGGCAUUUUAGUCAAUUAAAUAUAAUUAUAAAUAAUUAUAAUAAAAAAUAGUAUAUAUAAUAAAAAUAAAAAAUGUUAACCUAAACCAGGCCUCUCCAACCCCAACACUCACACCCUCCUCUGUAUACACCCUCUACAUAACUCCUUCAACGUGAGUACUUGAUUGCUUAAGUAUUCCUAUUGUUAUGCAAAUCAGACUUUUUUUCUCAUAUGGGAUGAGACUAAUAAAGGAGAAUUAUACAUUGUGGAAUGAGAUGAAAGCAAGGGGCUUUAAAGCGAACAUAUAAUGGUUGCUUGCUGGUGAUGAGGUUCCAAAUUAAACUUUGGGACAUGGACAAUGACAAUGUGAACCUGGUUUUUUUUUUUUUUUUUUUUUGGUUGCAUCUUUCCCUGUAGAUAGCAUUAAUUCUGUGAUGGAUAAGAAUAGUUCCAUAGUUCCAUGCCAUCCAACACUUAUUGAGCUAGUGAGAUUAGGUAUGUCAAGCCCUCACAAAAAGGACAUUCGAAAGAAGAGGUGAUCAUUGGUGUUGUGCGGCUGAUUUUCAUAUACGAUCACCAUAAGAUCAAACCAGGGCACAACCACUAGGAGGUCGUUUGGUACACAGGCUUAGUUUGGACUGGCUUGGAUUAAAUUUAGUACCAUGUUUGUUUCAUUUAAUUCUAGUCUUAGAUGGGAUUGCUAAUACCGGGCCCACCAAAAACACCUCCUUAGGAGGGGACUACUAAUCCCAUGUAGAAAUGGAGGAUUAACUAGUCCUAUGUUUACCAAUGUAUGAGAUGCAUAUAUUAUAUUGUAAUACUAAUAACAUAUAUUACUAUUAUUAUUAUUAUUACAUACACAUAUACUAUAAUGUACAUAUAUACAUGUAUAUACACAUAUACAAGUAUAUAUAUAUACACAUAUAUACAUAUAUAAUAUAGUAUAAAUACAUAUAGAUAUAUACACAUAUAUUAUUAUUAUAAUAUACUCAUAUACACAUACAUAUUAAUAUUAUAAUAAUAGCAUACAUGUAUACAUGUAUAUAUGUAAUAUAUAUUAUAUUAUAUAUUAAUGUACAUAUAUACACGUAUAUACAUGUAUAUAUAUAAACACAUAUAUACAUAUAUAAUAUAUAAAUACAUAUAUAUAUUACGUAUAUACAUGUAUAUAUGUAAUAUAUAUUAUUAUAAUACAUGUAUAUAAGUAUAUAUACAUAUAUGUGUAUAUAUUAUACCCAUGUAUGUAUUAUAAUAUACAAAUACACACGUAUAUAGACAUAUACAUUAUAUAUUUAUACUAUAUGUAUAUAUAUAUAUUAUAAUAUACAUAUAUACACGUAUAUACAUGUAUAUUAUUAUUAUAACAUACCCAUAUAUAUUAUCUAUUAUAAUAUACAUAUGUAUAUGUAUAUGUAUUAUACCCAUGUAUAUAUUAUAAUAUAUAGAUACACCUAUAUACACAUAUAUUAUAUACAUGUAUAUACGUAUAUAUAUAUAUGUAUAUUAUAAUAUAUAAUAUAUAUACAUAUAUUAUACAUAUAUUAUAUAUACAUAUGUAUUUUAUAAUAUAUAUAAUAUAUGUAUAUAUACAUACAUAUAUAAUAUACAUAUAUACAGGUAUAUAUAUGUAUAUUAUUAUUAUUAUUAUUAUUAUUAUUAUUAUUAUUAUUAUUAUAACAUACCCAUAUAUAUUAUAUAUUAUAAUAUACAUACAUAUAUAUAAAUAUAUGUAUAUGUAUUAUACCCAUGUAUAUUAUAAUAUACAUAUAUACACCUAUAUACACUUAUAUAUAUGUAUGUACGUUUAUAUUAUUUAAAAUAUAUAAUAUUAUUAUAAUAUACUUAUAUACAUGUAUAUACAUAUAUAUUAUAUAUAUAUUAUAAAAUACAUAUAUACAUAUAUAUAGAUAUUUUUAAAAAAAUAAAAAAAUUAUAGUCCUAGUCCAAGCAUACACCAAACGCAGGAUAAGUGUUAUCCAACUUAGACCAAGCCAAGCCAAGCCAAGCUAGUCCCUAAGCAUAGUCCAUGCCAAGACAGUCCUGUGUACCAAACGAGCCCUAGGAGUUUAGGAAGGCCUCAAUUUCUGCCAUCACCAUAAGAUUAUGACCUCCAUCAUUGUUGAACGCUUCUUUUAUUUUUUUUUAAAUUUGUUUUUUAAUAAUUAUUUUUAGUUGUUGUUAAUUAAUGAAAAUACCCUAAACUUACCGGAAAUUUUAAUGGAGUUAUACGUAG
This 2255-nucleotide long non-coding RNA is filed under the name Prunus persica (peach). Its description in RNAcentral is "long non-coding RNA (PPER_LNC008203)". Lineage: Eukaryota; Viridiplantae; Streptophyta; Magnoliopsida; Rosales; Rosaceae. The record is from RNAcentral.